RNAcentral lists this unclassified non-coding RNA (2172 nucleotides) under Hevea brasiliensis (rubber tree). The record is from RNAcentral. Lineage: Eukaryota; Viridiplantae; Streptophyta; Magnoliopsida; Malpighiales; Euphorbiaceae.
UGAAAUUCCCUCAACAUUUGCCAACCUCAGAAGGAUGAGAAUCUUGUGGGCAUUUGAUAAUCCUUUCACUGGCAAGAUACCAGACUUCAUUGGGAAUUGGACAGAGCUUACAACAUUGAGAUUACAGGGGAAUUCUUUUGAAGGUCCAAUACCAUCGAGCUUUUCUCAAUUGGUCUCAUUGACCACUUUAAGACUUGGUGAUUUACAUAAUGUCAGCUCUACUCUUGAUUUUGUGAAGAAUUUGAAGAACUUAACUGACUUGAUUUUGAGGAAUGCAUUGAUCACCGGUACUAUUCCACUUAACAUUGGAGAAUACCAAACCUUAAAAAUAUUGGAUUUAAGCUUCAACAACUUGACAGGAGAAAUUCCAAGCGCUUUGUUCAGUUUGAGUUCCCUUGAGUACUUGUAAAUAUCAUAUAACCUGUUGUCUUUAUUGCUUUAAGAUCAUAUGUUAUAAAUGUUAAGUUUUGUUAUGUAGGUGUUUUAUACUCUUACUAUUCACUUCACAUUGAUUGGUUUUCAUAGUGCUAUCUUCCAUGACAUUAUGAUAUCACCAGGUUUCUUGGAAACAAUAGUCUAUCUGGAACCAUUCCGAACCAAAAAAGUGACUCUCUUCAAACUAUAGAUUUGUCUUACAAUCACCUUACGGGAAUUUUUCCUUCAUGGGUAAACCCAAAUAUGCAAUUGUAUGUCUCACAAAUCCUGCUGCUUUCUUAUUAAUCUUUAUUUUGUAGACUUAACACUAUCCUUUUGAGCUUUUAUGAAUUGUUAUGACAUUACAUUCCUUGUUUGUCAUUCCUAUUAUGGUGAAUGAUGCAUUGUGAAUUUCUCUACUAAGCCAAAUAAAAAUGAUGCAUUAGCAUCAUACAUAAAAACCUUUUUGAUGCGUAGUAGUUUUUAUGUCAACCAUGAAGUUGCAUGAACACAGAAAAAAUCAAAGAAGAUGCAUGUCAUUGUUGAAACAUAAACUUUGAUAAUUUUUCCUUGUUAAAUAAUGCAAGUAAAUUUGCUUGUACAAUAUUAUGGUAACCUGCUUGUAAUUAUUAACUUCUGUCUUGAUGGUCUUGAACUCCCAUCAAGACAUGCAUCAUGAGUUAUCAUCUUUGUUAUCUUUUCUAUGUGUUACCAUGGGCAUGUAUGAGUAAUCACUUCAUGGAGUUAUGCAGGAACUUAAUAGCCAACGACUUCGUGUUUGACAACUCAAACAUAAGUGUGAUGCCAGGAUUGAACUGUCUACAGAGAAAUUUUCCUUGCAAUAGGAAUGCUCCACGUUGUAAGCUUCUUUAUUCAAUUAUUUAGUUUCUAAUAGAAAUUUCUAUUAUUUAGUUCAAUAGCACACACUCAAUUAUUUAGCUUCUAAUAGAAAUUAUAUAACGAAAUAAUACUCCCAUGAACCCUUAUUUUUGUACAAAUUUUCAAUUUUGUUCCUUUAUAAUUCUUAGCUAGCUAGCACUAAAUUGACAUACAUGACUAAAAAAUCUGAUGUCUAAAAUCUCAUGAGGUGAGUUUAACUUUCUUUAACCCCCUUGUAUCAGCAUUAUGUGUUCCCUUGUGUGUUGUGGAUGGCUUCACCAAUUGGGAGCUAAAACAUUGCCAUUGUUAAAUGUUACAGAUGCAAAUUUUUCAAUCAAAUGUGGUGGCCCAGAGAUGCGUUCUGGUGGCAUAUUGUAUGAGGCUGAAAAUUCAUCCAUGGGCCCAGCAUCAUUCCAAGUAAUCACAAGUCAAAAAUGGGCAGUCAGCAUUGUGGGUUUGUUUGCUGAUAGACAGGAUCCAUCAUACAUUGAAGAUACCUUGUCACAAGUGGCCAGCACCAACACUCCAGAACUUUAUCUGACUUCAAGGGUAUCCCCUAGUUCAAUUAGAUACUAUGGCCUAGGUCUUGAAAACGGACUUUACAACAUAAGCUUAUUAUUUGCGGAAACAGCACUUAAACAUAGAAGCUCUCGAGUUUGGGAGAGCAUUGGAAGGCGAGUUUUUGACAUCUAUAUUCAGGGAAUUCGCCAGGACAAGGACUUUGACAUAUCAGAGGAAGUAGGUGGAGUUGAGAGAGCUAUUACAAAGCAUUUUAUUGCUAAUGUUUCUGGGAACCAUCUUGAAAUUCACUUGUUUUGGGCGGGUAAGGGGACCUGCUGCACACCCGUACAAGGCUAUUAUGGACCAAUCAUUUCAGCA